Molecule: ribosomal RNA, 1010 nt
Filed under: Bacillus licheniformis
Lineage: Bacteria; Bacillati; Bacillota; Bacilli; Caryophanales; Bacillaceae
Description: bacterial SSU rRNA
Rfam family: Bacterial small subunit ribosomal RNA
Source: RNAcentral
AACUACGUGCCAGCAGCCGCGGUAAUACGUAGGUGGCCAAGCGUUGUCCGGGAAUUAUUGGGCGUAAAGCGCGCGCAGGCGGUUUCUUAAGUCUGAUGUGAAAGCCCCCGGCUCAACCGGGGAGGGUCAUUGGAAACUGGGGAACUUGAGUGCAGAAGAGGAGAGUGGAAUUCCACGUGUAGCGGUGAAAUGCGUAGAGAUGUGGAGGAACACCAGUGGCGAGGGCGACUCUCUGGUCUGUAACUGACGCUGAGGCGCGAAAGCGUGGGGAGCGAACAGGAUUAGAUACCUUGGUAGUCCACGCCGUAAACGAUGAGUGUUAAGUGUUAGAGGGUUUCCGCCCUUUAGUGCUGCAGCAAACGCAUUAAGCACUCCGCCUGGGGAGUACGGUCGCAAGAAUGAAACUCAAAGGAAUUGACGGGGGCCCGCACAAGCGGUGGAGCAUGUGGUUUAAUUGGAAGCAACGGGAAGAACCUUACCAGGUCUUGACAUCCUCUGACAACCCUAGAGAUAGGGCUUCCCCUUCGGGGGCAGAGUGACAGGUGGUGCAUGGUUGUCGUCAGCUCGUGUCGUGAGAUGUUGGGUUAAGUCCCGCAACGAGCGCAACCCUUGAUCUUAGUUGCCAGCAUUCAGUUGGGCACUCUAAGGUGACUGCCGGUGACAAACCGGAGGAAGGUGGGGAUGACGUCAAAUCAUCAUGCCCCUUAUGACCUGGGCUACACACGUGCUACAAUGGGCAGAACAAAGGGCAGCGAAGCCGCGAGGCUAAGCCAAUCCCACAAAUCUGUUCUCAGUUCGGAUCGCAGUCUGCAACUCGACUGCGUGAAGCUGGAAUCGCUAGUAAUCGCGGAUCAGCAUGCCGCGGUGAAUACGUUCCCGGGCCUUGUACACACCGCCCGUCACACCACGAGAGUUUGUAACACCCGAAGUCGGUGAGGUAACCUUUUGGAGCCAGCCGCCGAAGGUGGGACAGAUGAUUGGGGUGAAGUCGAAUCAAGACCUUACCCUUC